This is a long non-coding RNA of Cygnus olor (mute swan), 1176 nucleotides long. RefSeq lists it as uncharacterized. The record is from RefSeq and is a predicted model, not a curated record. Lineage: Eukaryota; Metazoa; Chordata; Aves; Anseriformes; Anatidae. The transcript has 3 exons.
ACUAAAGAAAGCCUAGAAUCCACAGCAGGUGACACGUAGGUGAGACACUUGAGGUGAGACUGAUGGUGACUGAAGUCCCACUUAGAACAGUGAUGGGCAACCCGCAGGGAAAGGUUCACAGGCCUUUUUUCUGUGGAUCACUAAAGAAAGCCAAGUGUGAUCACCACGAGAGGAGACGACACAAUCCAGCAGCGGUGCCAGCAGGAAAGCUCACUGUGGCAUGCCCAAAGUGCAAGAAUAUCUGCGCUAGCUGCAUGUGCACAAAGGUUUGGAUUUGCCUAAAACCAGCCCUGAGCUGGAGGGGAAACAAUGAGAGAGUGUAUAGGUAGGCACCUACCCCACCACCCGGGGCUGCCUGCUGGAGAGGUUUUGGUUUCACGGCAGGAACACAAAUAAAGCACAACGCUAAAUAAUUAAAGCCUCUCGUUAAAGGGCAAGUCAUUUAUUGUUAUCAGGAGGGUAUUUUUUUGUGCAUCACAGGCAAAGCUUAUUUUGGAAGAUUUUAAAAUGUUUUCCUAAGAGCAAACAUAAUCUCUCCUAGCAUUUGCAAAACUUACAUUACCCCGGGUAAAAAAAUACCCAACAACACUGAGCACAUCAGCUUAUCUGAAACCUAAUACUGUUAUUGUAAGGUUUUGUAUAGCUCACUUCCUGUCUUUAUAGUUACACAACAGGAUAUUUAAAUUACAAAGACAAUGAAGAAACACAGCGAAAUACUCCUGAUAUUAAAAAUAUUCCAGUUGUUUUUAAUGCCCUAAUUCCACGCAGAACUAAUUGGCAAACACAAAGCCACUUCGAGAGCCGUGCUGGCUAAACACACCGCAGGUUUUGCAGCCAGCCAGCAGGCAGGUUCACGGUUUGUCAGCCGUCCCACUAUGCUGUGAAAAACGUGCAACUUGCUACUCCAAUGGCAGCCGCUCACCCGCCGCCGUUAGCAGUCUGUCCCUGUUUCCAUUGUUAACUUAGUCUUCGGGGUUUAAUAUCUCACCUGUAUGAAAUUGCAUCGGGGUAAAGCUCAACACACAGGUGUGUCUGGGUAUUACUCUUCUAUUUUUUUAACAACAAAAUUAAAUUGUAUCAAUCAGCACUGAGGAAUAUAUAUCUUCUCUUUUUUUUCUUUAGUUUCAGGCAGUUUAUUCCAUCCAUAAUCUAAACAGAAACAAAACUUUUCACCGA